This 339-nucleotide ribosomal RNA is filed under the name uncultured bacterium. Its description in RNAcentral is "bacterial SSU rRNA". It matches the Rfam family "Bacterial small subunit ribosomal RNA", at positions 1045 to 1397 of the family's 1533-position model. The record is from RNAcentral.
AUGGCUGUCGUCAGCUCGUGCCGUGAGGUGUUGGGUUAAGUCCCACAACGAGCGCAACCCUCGUUGCUAGUUACACGUAUCUAGCGAGACUGCCGGCAUAUAACCGGAGGAAGGUGGGGAUGACGUCAGGUCAGUAUGGCCUUUAUGUCCAGGGCUACACACACGCUACAAUGGUCGGUACAGAGGGUCGCGAAGCCGCGAGGCGGAGCCAAUCUCAAAAAGCCGAUCCCAGUUCAGAUUGCAGGCUGUAACCCGCCUGCAUGAAGUCGGAGUUGCUAGUAACCGCAGGUCAGCCAUACUGCGGUGAAUACGUUCCCGGGCCUUGUACACACCGCCCGU